GCCGCUUGCCGCACCCCCGAGCCUGAGCCCGUCUACCUCGUGGCUGCCUGAGGCCCGGGUAUGGGGGCGCGCGUCUGCGAGGAGGUCGCGGGUGCCCUGGUUUUUUUGAAGCCGGCCUUGUAUUCCCAGGGCCUGGCGGGUGAAUAACCGGCCGGGUCGUGGCUGCGUGGUCGUGCUCCGCCCGCGCCGAGGGGCCUCACGCCCGGGCAGCCUGCGUCACCCGCAGGGUUCGGUCACAGGCGAGGGCGGAUGGUGCGGGCCGGAAUCCCGCCUGCGAGUAGAGGCCCGCGCUCAGGAGGGCGGCGCCGGAGGCCUCGGGUCGGGAGGGCCCCUUCGGGUGUGAGGAGCGCAGGAAGGGGGCGGUUUUCCUGCGUCUUGAGCCGCCCGAGGACGAGGACUGAAGUUGCAGCCGCCGCAGGGAGGGCAGCCCCGGAGGAGGAGGGUCGUGAGGGAGGGAGCGCGCAGUGCGGCGCGGCCUGGCAGGCGUCUGCAGAGCUCGUCCCGCACACCUCUGACUUCGGAGCGCUCCGUCCUGUGCCUUCGGACUGGCUCACCUCGGAGGCGCUUCGAGCCUCGGUCCUGCCCCGGCCGCUGCGCGAGCCCAUCGUAGGAAGCGGGGAGGCGCCGUCUGGAAGCUUAGGAAGAGGCUCUGUUCUCUUCAGGGUCCGCCCUCCGGGCCCGGGCAGGGUCCCUCGUGGGCUCCCAGGCGCGCGGGGUCCUCCGCCACCCCGACCCCUUCCUCCGUCCGCCUUAGGUCUAGAGCUGACGCCAAGAGCUGGAAAGCUUGUUGAGUAGGAAAAGCAAAGACUAGAUGGUCUGUCACAGAGGUAGGAUGAGGGUGACCUAUUUAUUUUUAUGCUUUUCUGUACUCCGCAAAUUCGUAACAGUGAAUGCCAGUGACGACAGCCAACAUCACCGAGUGCCUAGCUCCGUGUCGAACACCCAUGUAAUAUUCACAACCCUGUGCAGCGAAUACAAUACCUCUAUUUUACAUGUAAAGAAAGAUUCAGAAGUAUUAAAAGUAACCUGCCUAGGAUUACAGCUCUGAAGUUAGGGCAGAAUUUCAAGGCCGGUCUGGUUUGUUUCUGGACCUGCACUCACUCCACCACUACAGACGAGGUUGCAAAGCCAGUGGGCUGCGUGUAAUCCUCCCUCUUCCUCAGCCCCGAGACGCUCAGGAAAGUGUUUUCAGUUAUCGUGGUUAUCCGCCCUCAGCCCUCCAGUGGGCCGGGUGCCUCGGCAGAGGUGCUCGGGGCUGGGGAGGUGUUCUGUUGGUUUGUGGAGAGGACCUUCCCCUACACCCAGGGCUGACACUGAUUUUCACAACUGAACCGCUUUUCCUUUUGCUUCUUAUUGUACAGUCAGCCUUCGCAGUGAAUCCAACCUUGCCGUUUCCUCCUCCACUAUUUUUUCUUUCCCUGAUUGAAAGAC
This 1431-nucleotide long non-coding RNA is filed under the name Homo sapiens (human). RNAcentral's name for it is "non-protein coding lnc-ANKRD11-1:6". Lineage: Eukaryota; Metazoa; Chordata; Mammalia; Primates; Hominidae. The record is from RNAcentral.